UGCUGGGAGCCUGUCUGGCCUUAAUAG
RNAcentral lists this unclassified non-coding RNA (27 nucleotides) under Mus musculus (house mouse). Its description in RNAcentral is "oocyte_clustered_small_RNA12083". Lineage: Eukaryota; Metazoa; Chordata; Mammalia; Rodentia; Muridae. The record is from RNAcentral.